RNAcentral lists this ribosomal RNA (431 nucleotides) under uncultured bacterium. RNAcentral describes it as "partial 16S ribosomal RNA". It matches the Rfam family "Bacterial small subunit ribosomal RNA", at positions 29 to 507 of the family's 1533-position model. The record is from RNAcentral.
AACGAACGCUGGCGGCAGGCUUAACACAUGCAAGUCGAGCGCCCCGCAAGUGGAUCCGCAGACUGGUGAGUACCGCGUGGGAACGUACCCUUAUCUUCGGGAUAGCUCCGGGAAACUGGAAUUAAUACCGAAUGUGCCCUUUUGGUGAAAGGUUUAUCGGCUAAGGAUCGGCCCGCGCUGGAUUAGCUAGUUGGUGGGGUAAAGGCCUACCAAUGCGACGAUCCAUAGCUGGUCUGAGAGGAUGAUCAGCCACAUUGGGACUGAGACACGGCCGAGACUCCUACGGGAGGCAGCAGUGGGGAAUAUUGGACAAUGGGCGCAAGCCUGAUCCAGCCAUGCCGCGUGAGUGAUGAAGGCCUUAGGGUUGUAAAGCUCUUUCACCGGAGAAGAUAAUGACGGUAUCCGGAGAAGAAGCCCCGGCUAACUUCGUG